Long non-coding RNA from Gallus gallus (chicken), 1178 nucleotides. The record is from Ensembl. Lineage: Eukaryota; Metazoa; Chordata; Aves; Galliformes; Phasianidae.
UCUGUUUCAAAGAGCUUUGCAGAAAUAAAGCUCAGUAAUACUACCACAUUUGGCAAAAGAGGAAGAAAUGAAUCUCAGCAUGGAAGGUCCCUCCUUUACACAUGCACUGGGGCCAGUAGGUACUACCUGAUCUCCACAGCAUGGCUGCACAGUAAAAGGAAGAGAAAGUCAAAGCCAGGUGUGUUGGCAGGAUCCCAGACUGAUGUGCAUUUACGGUGUAGAUGCCACAGAUAGCUAUAUGCUGUUGCUGAAUGAGAAUACCAGAUUCCCUGUGAAAAACCUUCUCUCAGGUUUUCCUUUUAAUUUCAAUGCUGUACCGAUGUGAGUUUUGCCAUGGUUCAUAAACUAAGGCCUCCUUUCACUAAAACAGGGAUUUUCCGAGCUGUAAAUCGAGUCAGAAUUUUGACACACGGACUGAGAAGAUCACAUGUGAAAGAAAUGUGAAACAUACCCUGUUUGUGCUGGACAAGACUGAAGGCUGUGGCAGUGGGACACACAGAAAGACUGCCACCAACUUUCCAGUCAAGGAGAUCUCCAUCAAGGUGCUACCAGAGAAGCAUCUGUGGCGGCAUGCCUGUAUUUACACAGAUGGGCCAUUUAUGUUUUCAGAUGCUGCAGCUCCAAACUGAUAAGAAAGUGGUCUGAUUACCAUCAUCUUCUUUAGCCAUGUAACUUCAGCACUGAAAGCAGAGGGCAGGUCUCUCCCUUGGCUGUGGUUCCUUCCUCCAGAGAGUGAUUCAGUGUCACGUCCAGGGCUGAGUCAUCUUCUGCAGGGGCCUCUCCCUUCUCUCUAGUGAAGCACCUGCAGUGGGGCUUAGCCAUGCCAAAGAGUGAGCACUGACCUGCCUGUCAUCUAAGUACGUGAGAUUGCUGGGAGAUGCAGGACUUUUUUGUGCUGCUGCCAAGAGGUGGGUGGGAAAAAAUCUGUGUGUCUGCACAUGCAUGUGUUUGCACAUAUAACUGUACUUCUGGAUCUCCUAUUUUUAUAUUUCUAACUUUUUUUUUGUUUGUUUGUUUGUUUUUGUUUUCUGGGGUACUUGUUUUUCUGCCUCUAAGUAGACUUCUGGAUAUUAGUCUAGUUUUUGGCACAUUUAGUGAAGAAAUGCUGUAGAAACUUGUAUUGAAUUAUCUGAAUAAAAGAGGUAAAAUGAGGUAAUUAUAUAUUGGAAAAGCUGGAG